UACGUAGGGUGCGAGCGUUGUCCGGAAUUAUUGGGCGUAAAGAGCUUGUAGGCGGUUUGUCGCGUCUGCUGUGAAAUCUCAAGGCUCAACCUUGAGCUUGCAGUGGGUACGGGCAGACUAGAGUGUGGUAGGGGAGACUGGAAUUCCUGGUGUAGCGGUGAAAUGCGCAGAUAUCAGGAAGAACACCCGUGGCUAAGGCGGCUCUCUAGUACGGUACUGACGCUGAGACGCGAAAGCGUGGGGAGCGAACAGG
This 253-nucleotide ribosomal RNA is filed under the name uncultured bacterium. RNAcentral describes it as "partial 16S ribosomal RNA". It matches the Rfam family "Bacterial small subunit ribosomal RNA", at positions 524 to 776 of the family's 1533-position model. The record is from RNAcentral.